GUGUCAGGAUGAACGCUGGCGGCGUGCCUAACACAUGCAAGUCGAACGAAGCACUUUCUCGGAGAUUCGUCGAAGAGGAAUUGACUUAGUGGCGGACGGGUGAGUAAUGUAUGAGCAACCUGCCUUUCAGUGGGGGACAACAGUUGGAAACGACUGCUAAUACCGCAUAAUGUAUCGAGGGGGCAUCCCCAUGAUACCAAAGGAGUAAUUCGCUGAAAGAUGGGCUCAUAUCUGAUUAGUUAGUUGGUGGGGUAACGGCUCACCAAGACUGCGAUCAGUAGCCGGACUGAGAGGUUGAACGGCCACAUUGGGACUGAGAUACGGCCCAGACUCCUACGGGAGGCAGCAGUGGGGAAUAUUGGGCAAUGGGCGAAAGCCUGAACCCCAGCAACGCCGCGUGAAGGAAGAAGGUCUUCGGAUUGUAAACUUCUUUUAUGAGGGACGAAGGACGUGACGGUACCUCAUGAAUAAGCCACGGCUAACUACGUGCCAGCAGCCGC
Molecule: ribosomal RNA, 500 nt
Filed under: uncultured bacterium
Lineage: Bacteria
Description: bacterial SSU rRNA
Rfam family: Bacterial small subunit ribosomal RNA
Source: RNAcentral